RNAcentral lists this ribosomal RNA (483 nucleotides) under Ascomycota sp. GMU_LL_02_B3. Its description in RNAcentral is "eukaryotic LSU rRNA". The stretch from base 138 to 291 matches the Rfam family "5.8S ribosomal RNA". The record is from RNAcentral. Lineage: Eukaryota; Fungi; Ascomycota.
UAGAUCUCCCCCCUUUGAGUACUAUACUUUUGUUGCUUUGGCAGGCCGCUUCGGCUACCGGCUUCGGCUGGUGAGUGCCUGCCAGAGGACCCCAAAUUCUGAAUUAUAGUGUCGUCUGAGAACUAUAUAAUAGUUAAAACUUUCAACAACGGAUCUCUUGGUUCUGGCAUCGAUGAAGAACGCAGCGAAAUGCGAUAAGUAAUGUGAAUUGCAGAAUUCAGUGAAUCAUCGAAUCUUUGAACGCACAUUGCGCCCCUUGGUAUUCCGGGGGGCAUGCCUGUUCGAGCGUCAUUAUAACCCUCAAGCCUAGCUUGGUGUUGGAGCCUGCCUCUGGGCAGCUCUUAAAAUCAGUGGCGGUGCCGUCUGGCUCUAAGCGUAGUAAUUUUUCUCGCUACAGAGUCCCGGCGGUUGCUUGCCAACAACCCCAAAUUUUCUAUGGUUGACCUCGGAUCAGGUAGGGAUACCCGCUGAACUUAAGCAUAU